Molecule: ribosomal RNA, 404 nt
Filed under: Lancefieldella parvula
Lineage: Bacteria; Bacillati; Actinomycetota; Coriobacteriia; Coriobacteriales; Atopobiaceae
Description: bacterial SSU rRNA
Rfam family: Bacterial small subunit ribosomal RNA
Source: RNAcentral
GAUGAACGCGGCGGCGCGCCUAACACAUGCAAGUCGAACGAUUAAAGCACCUUCGGGUGUGUAUAAAGUGGCGAACGGCUGAGUAACACGUGGGCAACCUGCCCCUUUCAUUGGGAUAGCCACGGGAAACCGUGGAUAAUACCGAAUACUUCGAGACUUCCGCAUGGAAGACUCGAGAAAGCUCCGGCGGAGAGGGAUGGGCCCGCGGCCUGUUAGCUUGUUGGUGGGGUAACGGCCUACCAAGGCAAUGAUGGGUAGCUGGGUUGAGAGACCGACCAGCCAGAUUGGGACUGAGACACGGCCCAGACUCCUACGGGAGGCAGCAGUGGGGAAUCUUGCACAAUGGGCGAAAGCCUGAUGCAGCGACGCCGCGUGCGGGAUGAAGGCCUUUCGGGUUGUAAACC